Small nucleolar RNA from Talpa occidentalis (Iberian mole), 122 nucleotides. Lineage: Eukaryota; Metazoa; Chordata; Mammalia; Eulipotyphla; Talpidae. The record is from RefSeq and is a predicted model, not a curated record.
AUGCCCAUUUCACUGAUCUGCUUUCAUUCAUAUAGCUUUAUUUCUUAUGUGCUAUAAACAUGGUUGAAGAUGACUUAGCAGUAUAACUAGAUAGUAAUGCUGCCAUUCUCCUUCAGACAAAU